UUAGCAUCCACCUGCCAAGGUUCUUGUUGAACUGGCCGAGCUCCAAGAUAGAGAAGUAGGAGAUGGCACUACUUCUGUCGUCAUUGUAGCAGCUGAAUUACUCAAGAGAGCAAAUGAUCUUGUGAAAAACAAGAUUCACCCAACAUCUGUAAUUAGCGAUACAGACUUGCAAUGAGAGAAGCAUGCAAAUAUAUUGAAGAGAAGCUCGCGAUUAAGGUUGACAAGCUUGGAAAGGAUUCUCUUGUGAAUUGUGCAAAGACAAGCAUGUCUUCUAAAUUGUUAUCCGGUGACUCUGACUUUUUCGCAAAUCUGGUACGCUUU
Molecule: long non-coding RNA, 321 nt
Organism: Helianthus annuus (common sunflower)
Lineage: Eukaryota; Viridiplantae; Streptophyta; Magnoliopsida; Asterales; Asteraceae
Exons: 5
Source: RefSeq, a predicted model, not a curated record